RNAcentral lists this ribosomal RNA (454 nucleotides) under uncultured Bacteroides sp. Its description in RNAcentral is "partial 16S ribosomal RNA". It matches the Rfam family "Bacterial small subunit ribosomal RNA", at positions 341 to 792 of the family's 1533-position model. Lineage: Bacteria; Pseudomonadati; Bacteroidota; Bacteroidia; Bacteroidales; Bacteroidaceae. The record is from RNAcentral.
ACGGAAGGCAGCAGUGAGGAAUAUUGGUCAAUGGGCGGAAGCCUGAACCAGCCAAGUCGCGUGAAGGAUGAAGGUAUUAUGUAUUGUAAACUUCUUUAGCAGCAGAGUAAUAAGGCCCUCGUGAGGGCUGAUGCAAGUAUGCUGAAAAUAAGGAUCGGCUAACUCCGUGCCAGCAGCCGCGGUAAUACGGAGGAUCCGAGCGUUAUCCGGAUUUAUUGGGUUUAAAGGGAGCGUAGGCGGAAGGUCAAGUCAGCUGUGAAAUGUAGUCGCUCAACGUCUGCACUGCAGUUGAAACUGGCCUCCUUGAGUGCGUAAGAGGCGGGCGGAAUUCGUCGUGUAGCGGUGAAAUGCUUAGAUAUGACGAAGAACUCCGAUUGCGAAGGCAGCUCGCUGGGCCGCAACUGACGCUGAAGCUCGAAGGUGCGGGUAUCAAACAGGAUUAGAUACCCUGGUA